CGACCGGUAAGAAGAACUAAACAAGGAUUCCCCUAGUAACGGCGAGUGAAGCGGGAAGAGCUCAAAUUUGAAAUCUGGUAGCCUUCGGUUGCCCGAGUUGUAAUCUAGAGAAGUGUUUUCCGCGUUGGCCCAUGUACAAGUCCCUUGGAACAGGGCGUCAUAGAGGGUGAGAAUCCCGUCCUUGACAUGGACCCCCAAUGCUUUGUGAUACACUUUCAACGAGUCGAGUUGUUUGGGAAUGCAGCUCAAAAUGGGUGGUGAAUUCCAUCUAAAGCUAAAUAUUGGCGAGAGACCGAUAGCGAACAAGUACCGUGAGGGAAAGAUGAAAAGCACUUUGGAAAGAGAGUUAAACAGUACGUGAAAUUGUUGAAAGGGAAACGAUUGAAGUCAGUCAUGCUCUUUGGAUUAAGCCGUUCUGCGGUGUAUUUCAUUGAGCGGGGUCAACAUCAGUUUUGAUCGCUGGAAAAGGGCAGGAGGAAGGUAGCACUCUCGGGUGAACUUAUAGCCUCUUGUCGUAUACAGUGAUUGGGACUGAGGAACGCAGCAUGCCUUUUGGCCGGGAUUCGUCCACGUACAUGCUUAGGAUGUUGACAUAAUGGCUUUAAACGACCCGUCUUGAAACACGGACCAAGGAGUCUAACAUAUCUGCGAGUAUUUGGGUGUCAAACCCGAGUGCGCAAUGAAAGUGAACGUAGGAGCGAUCCGCAAGGUGCAGCUUCGACCGAUCUGGAUCUUUAGUGAUGGAUUUGAGUAAGAGCAUAUAUGUUGGGGACCCGAAAAGAUGGUGAACUAUGCCUGAAAUAGGGCGAAACCCAGAGGAAAACUCUGGUGGAAGGCUCGUAGCGAUUCUGAACGUGCAAAUUCGAUCGUCAAAUUUGGGUAUAGGGGGCGAAAAGACUAAUCGAACCAUCUAGUAGCCUG
Molecule: ribosomal RNA, 921 nt
Filed under: Naganishia sp.
Lineage: Eukaryota; Fungi; Basidiomycota; Tremellomycetes; Filobasidiales; Filobasidiaceae
Description: partial large subunit ribosomal RNA
Rfam family: Eukaryotic large subunit ribosomal RNA
Source: RNAcentral